UACGGAGGGAGCUAGCGUUGUUCGGAAUUACUGGGCGUAAAGCGUGCGUAGACGGUUAUUUAAGUCGGGUGUGAAAGCCCCGGGCUCAACCUGGGAAUUGCAUUCGAGACUGAAUAGCUAGGGUACGGUAGAGGGAAGCGGAAUUUCCGGUGUAGCGGUGAAAUGCGUAGAUAUCGGAAGGAACAUCAGUGGCGAAAGCGGCUUCCUGGACCAGUACCGACGUUCAGGCACGAAAGCGUGGGGAGCAAACAGG
This 253-nucleotide ribosomal RNA is filed under the name uncultured bacterium. Its description in RNAcentral is "partial 16S ribosomal RNA". It matches the Rfam family "Bacterial small subunit ribosomal RNA", at positions 524 to 776 of the family's 1533-position model. The record is from RNAcentral.